This 179-nucleotide non-coding RNA is filed under the name Camelus ferus (Wild Bactrian camel). Lineage: Eukaryota; Metazoa; Chordata; Mammalia; Artiodactyla; Camelidae. The record is from Rfam by way of RNAcentral.
UUUCUCGCAGGAUAACUGAAGCAUAUAAUGAAGCUGUUAUAUUCGAUAAAACGAAUGAUUAGUGGGACGAAAUGUCUUGAGUAUGGCGUCUUGCUUGCUUGAAUGAAGCGUAGACAUGAAAUGUGUGUCCAACUAGGCUUUUUUUUUGAUAAACGAAACUGGCGCUGUGGGAUGAACCA